CCAGCUCUCUGCCGAGGCAGAAUCGGCUGCCUCCGGGGGCGGCCGGGGCGCCCCGGCAUCUGCUCAUCUUCCAGGCAGCCUGGGACCCUCGCGGGAUGGGGCUCAAGACCAGACCCUUCCCCCCAAAAGAGAUUCCAGCCACUUGUCGGGCGACUGGCAGGAACCGUCACUCCCGGAUAUGUGGAGAAGUCCUUACUUCAAAGAGUCUGUCCCACUGGCAGACCAAAGUUCUGAUUUGUAAUUUGCAAUUUGAAAAAAACCUCACCAGAGCCUAGAGGGUAACCUGCUUGCGUAUGUAUAUAUGUAUGCAUGUAUGCAUUCAUGCAUUAUUUAUUUUAAAGGAGCCGGCUGGGGAGCCAGAAAGGCCAACAGGACACUGCCUUCAGGCAGUUGGCAGUGCACCCUUGCUGUGUCUCAGCUCUCCAGGAUAAUCCUACACCCAGAGGGAUUGGUGCUUUCCAUUUUUGGUUAGCUGCUUGGAUCGCUGAUGUGGCACAGGUUCGGUCCCUGGCCUGGGAACUUCCACAUAGCACAGGCACUGCAAGGAAAUGAAGAAGGGUGGCAGGCGUGACGAUGGACUCAGGACAUGGGCUUCAGAACCAGACAUCCUUGCUGUUGAAUCCAGGCUCUUCCCAGUGGGGAACACGGGGAAGAAUGGAUGCAGUUACCACCUGUGUCCCCACAAAGGAUCUGUUCAGGGAAGCUGUGGGCUCUGGAGCCAGAGAGAGCCAGGAGGAAGGGGAAGGGAGGGGAUCUGCAUUUGUUUUUUUUUGUUUUUGUUUUUG
Non-coding RNA from Sus scrofa (pig), 785 nucleotides. The record is from RefSeq and is a predicted model, not a curated record. Lineage: Eukaryota; Metazoa; Chordata; Mammalia; Artiodactyla; Suidae.